ACAUUGGUGGUUCAGUGGUAGAACUGUCCCCUUCCAUGCUAGGGGCCUAGGUUCAAUUCCUGGCCAGUGUA
This 71-nucleotide transfer RNA is filed under the name Loxodonta africana (African savanna elephant). It matches the Rfam family "tRNA". Rfam says of the family: Transfer RNA (tRNA) molecules are approximately 80 nucleotides in length. Their secondary structure includes four short double-helical elements and three loops (D, anti-codon, and T loops). The record is from Rfam by way of RNAcentral. Lineage: Eukaryota; Metazoa; Chordata; Mammalia; Proboscidea; Elephantidae.